UACGUAGGGUGCAAGCGUUGUCCGGAAUUAUUGGGCGUAAAGAGCUCGUAGGCGGUUCGUCGCGUCGGCUGUGAAAUCCCGAGGCUCAACCUCGGGUCUGCAGUCGAUACGGGCGGACUGGAGUUCGGCAGGGGAGACUGGAAUUCCUGGUGUAGCGGUGAAAUGCGCAGAUAUCAGGAGGAACACCGGUGGCGAAGGCGGGUCUCUGGGCCGUACCUGACACUGAUGCGCGACAGCAUGGGGAGCAAACAGG
RNAcentral lists this ribosomal RNA (253 nucleotides) under uncultured bacterium. Its description in RNAcentral is "partial 16S ribosomal RNA". It matches the Rfam family "Bacterial small subunit ribosomal RNA", at positions 524 to 776 of the family's 1533-position model. The record is from RNAcentral.